Molecule: ribosomal RNA, 221 nt
Filed under: Staphylococcus aureus
Lineage: Bacteria; Bacillati; Bacillota; Bacilli; Caryophanales; Staphylococcaceae
Description: partial 16S ribosomal RNA
Rfam family: Bacterial small subunit ribosomal RNA
Source: RNAcentral
UAUAGAUGGAUCCGCGCUGCAUUAGCUAGUUGGUAAGGUAACGGCUUACCAAGGCAACGAUGCAUAGCCGACCUGAGAGGGUGAUCGGCCACACUGGAACUGAGACACGGUCCAGACUCCUACGGGAGGCAGCAGUAGGGAAUCUUCCGCAAUGGGCGAAAGCCUGACGGAGCAACGCCGCGUGAGUGAUGAAGGUCUUCGGAUCGUAAAACUCUGUUAUU